This 374-nucleotide ribosomal RNA is filed under the name uncultured organism. Its description in RNAcentral is "bacterial SSU rRNA". It matches the Rfam family "Bacterial small subunit ribosomal RNA", at positions 526 to 896 of the family's 1533-position model. The record is from RNAcentral.
CGUAGGAGGCAAGCGUUAUCCGGAGUUACUGGGCGUAAAGCGCGUGUAGGUGGGUUGGUAAGUUACUUAUGAAAGCUCCUGGCUAAACUAGGAGAGGUUGAGUGAUACUGCCAGUCUUGAAUAGAGGAGAGGUUGACGGAAUUCCGCGUGUAGUGGUGAAAUGCGUAGAGAUGCGGAAGAACACCAGUGGCGAAGGCGGUCAACUGGCCUCAUAUUGACACUCAGACGCGAAGGCAUGGGUAGCGAACGGGAUUAGAAACCCCGGUAGUCCAUGCAAUAAACGAUGCACACUGGAUGUUCGUUGUCCUACGGGGCAGUGAGUAUCGAAGCAAACGCGUUAAGUGUGCCGCCUGGGGAGUACGGUCGCAAGGCUA